GAUUGAGGGACCACGGGGCAGGCAGAAGGGAAGGUCUCACCGUGUCCGGGACGCGACUGCGGCGCGGAGGCUUCCAGGAUUUGCAGCCGGCAUCAACGUUUCCGUUACCGAUCACCUCAGACCGAAGCCUGAGUGCUUCCUGUGCAGACAGACACAGACCAGAGAAGCAGACAGCCGGAGACACGGUGCCAUCAACCCACGACUGCCAGGUGUGGUGGCACACACCU
Long non-coding RNA from Chinchilla lanigera (long-tailed chinchilla), 227 nucleotides. RefSeq lists it as uncharacterized. Lineage: Eukaryota; Metazoa; Chordata; Mammalia; Rodentia; Chinchillidae. The record is from RefSeq and is a predicted model, not a curated record. The transcript is spliced from 3 exons.